RNAcentral lists this ribosomal RNA (421 nucleotides) under uncultured bacterium. RNAcentral's name for it is "bacterial SSU rRNA". It matches the Rfam family "Bacterial small subunit ribosomal RNA", at positions 355 to 774 of the family's 1533-position model. The record is from RNAcentral.
UGAGGAAUAUUGGUCAAUGGGCGCAAGCCUGAACCAGCCAUGCCGCGUGCAGGAUGAAGCAUCUAUGGUGUGUAAACUGCUUUUGUACGGGAAGAAACCACCCCUCGUGAGGGGUAUUGACGGUACCGUAAGAAUAAGGAUCGGCUAACUCCGUGCCAGCAGCCGCGGUAAUACGGAGGAUCCAAGCGUUAUCCGGAAUCAUUGGGUUUAAAGGGUCCGUAGGCGGUUUAGUAAGUCAGUGGUGAAAGCCAUCGCUCAACGAUGGAACGGCCAUUGAUACUGCUAGACUUGAAUUAUUAGGAAGUAACUAGAAUAUGUAGUGUAGCGGUGAAAUGCUUAGAUAUUACAUGGAAUACCAAUUGCGAAGGCAGGUUACUACUAAUGGAUUGACGCUGAUGGACGAAAGCGUGGGGAGCGAACA